Molecule: ribosomal RNA, 245 nt
Filed under: uncultured bacterium
Lineage: Bacteria
Description: partial 16S ribosomal RNA
Rfam family: Bacterial small subunit ribosomal RNA
Source: RNAcentral
UACAGAGGGUGCAAGCGUUGUUCGGAAUUAUUGGGCGUAAAGCGCGUGUAGGCGGCUAUGCAAGUCGGGUGUGAAAGCCCUCAGCUCAACUGAGGAAGUGCGCCCGAAACUGCAUGGCUCGAGUACCGGAGAGGAUGGCGGAAUUCCCCAAGUAGAGGUGAAAUUCGUAGAUAUGGGGAGGAACACCAGUGGCGAAGGCGGCCAUCUGGACGGAUACUGACGCUGAGACGCGAAAGCGUGGGGAG